AUUGCAGGCUGCAACCCGCCCUGCAUGAAGUCGGAAUUGCUAGUAAUCGCGGAUCAGCAUGCCGCGGUGAAUACGUUCCCGGGCCCUUGUACACACCGCCCCGUCACACCAUGGGAGCCGGUAAUACCCGAAGUCAGUAGUCCAACCUCGUGAGGACGCUGCCGAAGGUAGGAUUGGCGACUGGGGUGAAGUCGUAACAAGGUACC
RNAcentral lists this ribosomal RNA (206 nucleotides) under uncultured bacterium. Its description in RNAcentral is "partial 16S ribosomal RNA". It matches the Rfam family "Bacterial small subunit ribosomal RNA", at positions 1297 to 1500 of the family's 1533-position model. The record is from RNAcentral.